GAUGAAGAACGCAGCGAAAUGCGAUAAGUAAUGCGAAUUGCAGAAUUUCCGUGAAUCAUCGAAUCUUUGAACGCACAUUGCGCCCGCCAGUAUUCUGGCGGGCAUGCCUGUCUGAGCGUCAUUUCAACCCUCAUGCCCCUAGGGCGUGGUGUUGGGGAUCGGCCAAAGCCCGCGAGGGACGGCCGGCCCCUAAAUCUAGUGGCGGACCCGUCGUGGCCUCCUCUGCGAAGUAGUGAUAUUCCGCAUCGGAGAGCGACGAGCCCCUGCCGUUAAACCCCCAACUUUCCAAGGUUGACCUCAGAUCAGGUAGGAAUACCCGCUGAACUUAAGCAUAUCAAUAAGCGGAGGA
Molecule: unclassified non-coding RNA, 349 nt
Filed under: soil metagenome
Description: partial contains 5.8S ribosomal RNA, internal transcribed spacer 2, and large subunit ribosomal RNA
Rfam family: 5.8S ribosomal RNA (bases 1-121)
Source: RNAcentral